RNAcentral lists this ribosomal RNA (1369 nucleotides) under uncultured bacterium. RNAcentral describes it as "bacterial SSU rRNA". It matches the Rfam family "Bacterial small subunit ribosomal RNA", at positions 28 to 1381 of the family's 1533-position model. The record is from RNAcentral.
GACGAACGCUGGCGGCGUGCCUAAUACAUGCAAGUAGAACGCUGAAGAGAGGAGCUUGCUCUUCUUGGAUGAGUUGCGAACGGGUGAGUAACGCGUAGGUAACCUGCCUUGUAGCGGGGGAUAACUAUUGGAAGCGAUAGCUAAUACCGCAUAACAAUGGAUGACACAUGUCAUUUAUUUGAAAGGGGCAAUUGCUCCACUACAAGAUGGACCUGCGUUGUAUUAGCUAGUAGGUGAGGUAACGGCUCACCUAGGCGACGAUACAUAGCCGACCUGAGAGGGUGAUCGGCCACACUGGGACUGAGACACGGCCCAGACUCCUACGGGAGGCAGCAGUAGGGAAUCUUCGGCAAUGGGGGCAACCCUGACCGAGCAACGCCGCGUGAGUGAAGAAGGUUUUCGGAUCGUAAAGCUCUGUUGUAAGUCAAGAACGAGUGUGAGAGUGGAAAGUUCACACUGUGACGGUAGCUUACCAGAAAGGGACGGCUAACUACGUGCCAGCAGCCGCGGUAAUACGUAGGUCCCGAGCGUUGUCCGGAUUUAUUGGGCGUAAGGCGAGCGCAGGCGGUUUGAUAAGUCUGAAGUUAAAGGCUGUGGCUCAACCAUAGUUUGCUUUGGAAACUGUCAAACUUGAGUGCAGAAGGGGAGAGUGGAAUUCCAUGUGUAGCGGUGAAAUGCGUAGAUAUAUGGAGGAACACCGGUGGCGAAAGCGGCUCUCUGGUCUGUAACUGACGCUGAGGCUCGAAAGCGUGGGGAGCGAACAGGAUUAGAUACCCUGGUAGUCCACGCCGUAAACGAUGAGUGCUAGGUGUUGGAUCCUUUCCGGGAUUCAGUGCCGCAGCUAACGCAUUAAGCACUCCGCCUGGGGAGUACGACCGCAAGGUUGAAACUCAAAGGAAUUGACGGGGGCCCGCACAAGCGGUGGAGCAUGUGGUUUAAUUCGAAGCAACGCGAAGAACCUUACCAGGUCUUGACAUCCCGAUGCUAUUUCUAGAGAUAGAAAGUUACUUCGGUACAUCGGUGACAGGUGGUGCAUGGUUGUCGUCAGCUCGUGUCGUGAGAUGUUGGGUUAAGUCCCGCAACGAGCGCAACCCCUAUUGUUAGUUGCCAUCAUUCAGUUGGGCACUCUAGCGAGACUGCCGGUAAUAAACCGGAGGAAGGUGGGGAUGACGUCAAAUCAUCAUGCCCCUUAUGACCUGGGCUACACACGUGCUACAAUGGUUGGUACAACGAGUUGCAAGUCGGUGACGGCAAGCUAAUCUCUUAAAGCCAAUCUCAGUUCGGAUUGUAGGCUGCAACUCGCCUACAUGAAGUCGGAAUCGCUAGUAAUCGCGGAUCAGCACGCCGCGGUGAAUACGUUCCCGGGCCU